UGGGGAAUAUUGCACAAUGGAGGGAACUCUGAUGCAGCGACGCCGCGUGAACGAAGAAGGCUUUCGAGUCGUAAAGUUCUUUUAUAUGGGAAGAUAAUGACGGUACCAUAAGAAAAAGCCCCGGCUAACUACGUGCCAGCAGCCGCGGUAAUACGUAGGGGGCUAGCGUUGUCCGGAAUGACUGGGCGUAAAGGGUUCGCAGGCGGAAAUGCAAGUCAGGUGUAAAAGGCAGGAGCUUAACUACGGUAAGCAUUUGAAACUGCAUAUCUUGAGAAGAGGAGAGGGAAGUGGAAUUUUUAGUGUAGGGGUGAAAUGCGUAGAUAUUAAGAAGAAUACCGGUGGCGAAGGCGGCUUACUGGGCUCAUUCUGACGCUGAGGAACGAAAGGGUGGGUAGCAAACAGG
This 403-nucleotide ribosomal RNA is filed under the name Fusobacteriota bacterium. Its description in RNAcentral is "Fusobacteria bacterium partial 16S ribosomal RNA". It matches the Rfam family "Bacterial small subunit ribosomal RNA", at positions 355 to 776 of the family's 1533-position model. Lineage: Bacteria; Fusobacteriati; Fusobacteriota. The record is from RNAcentral.